AGCUGGAGCCGCGCUGCAGGCACCUGGAGGCCCAGCUGGAGCAGCUGCAGGAGGCCGAGAUCGCGGAGCUGGAGCGCAGCCGCCCGCAGAGGCUCAUGGAGCUGUCCUCUCGCCAUGGCCCAGGCCAGGAGCCGGAAGGCCUGAAGUCACCCAGCGCCCAGCUCCAGGCCGAAGAUGUGCUGCAGAGGGCCCACGGGCAGCGUGUCAAGGGCACGGAGGAGCAGGUCAGGCCUCUCGAAGAGCAGCUGGACGAGGACAAACGGAAGAGACAGACACCCAUCUCUCAGCAGCUACAGACGGGGAAAUGACCCGGAAAUAGCUGUUAUGCCCCUGUGUCCUACCCCGUAAGGCCAAGCACCCAGAGUCACCCUGCGGCAGCGGCUCUGCAGGUCCCUCAGGCUGGACUUCUCUGCCUUCUCCUUUGCUAGGAUGCUCCAGAGCCUGGCCAGGAAUGGGGCGAGCAGGGCGCUGCUCAUCAAGGUAUCCCCACUGCACCCCCAUGAGAGGACGGAGCUCAGCUUCCCAAUCUGUCCAGCUCCCUGUCCCUCCUCCAGCCCAUCUGGGGUUUGACCUCUCCAGCCCCUCAGGCUUUCCCAAAUCCCCUCCAGCUCUGCUCCAGCUCUUUUUCCCCUGAGUUAGGCUCAGGACAACCAGCCCACAGGCAGCCCUGGUGGGCAGGCCGGCGGCAGGGGGAGGAUUUCCAGCAAGAGGACCCAAAAGCGCCCCAUGCACCCCAGCACCCGACGGGAGCAUGACGCAGGCCUGCGUGGAGCCCUGCAGGAACCGCUGGCCUUUUCACGCGGCGGCAGGUGGCUGGGAUUAAUCCAAGCCAAGUCAUCUUGUGAUGUGCUGGCCCAAGACAUGCAGAAGUGUAAAAUCGGGCAUCCUACCCACUCGUCGCCUAGAAAAUCCCUGUAGAAAUCAAACCGGGGAAGGAAGAAGGGGGUUCGCCAGCAACCGCAAUGGCCGUCUUGGGACCGCUGCACCCUUCACCUGUUAGCAUCAAUACACAUUUUUUCCCCAUUAAUAUUUGCUGGGAGUGGGGGUGGUAGGUUUUUCCUUCCUUUUUUUUUUUUUCUCAAAGCCUGGUUUGUUUAACCUUAAACGAGGGGCGCAGGCUUUCCUAACGGCCGGCGCGAUGGCAGGCCCGGCCUGCUGGUUUCCCAGGAGCAGCAGCGGCAGGGACCCCGGCCCUGGGCCUCGGGGGGAGCCAGGCUCCCGGGCCAGCGCUGCAGCAUUUCGGGCCUGGGCCAUGUGCAGCGUGUGGGCGAGGAUUUGGGAAGCCCACAGAAUACCCUCACGUUGAUGGCAAAGCCGGGUCCCUGUGAGGCAAACUUUCCACGGUGGUAUCCACAUAAUCCCUGGGCUGUUGAUCCUAACUGAGUCCUGCUGUUGUUUUCUCCUCUGUUUCAAUCCUUACAUAAUAUGUUCCUUGGCCCGUUUUCAGUAUUAAAAUGUACCUUGCAAUAAUUACAGUGGAGAAUAUUUAUAUUGCAUUCGUAUGGAAUAAAGCAUAAACGCUUUGGAACGGGGGCUCCGAU
RNAcentral lists this long non-coding RNA (1541 nucleotides) under Struthio camelus australis. RNAcentral describes it as "lncRNA (ENSSCUG00000006167.1)". The record is from RNAcentral. Lineage: Eukaryota; Metazoa; Chordata; Aves; Struthioniformes; Struthionidae.